This 253-nucleotide ribosomal RNA is filed under the name uncultured prokaryote. RNAcentral's name for it is "partial 16S ribosomal RNA". It matches the Rfam family "Bacterial small subunit ribosomal RNA", at positions 524 to 776 of the family's 1533-position model. The record is from RNAcentral.
AACGUAGGUGGCGAGCGUUAUCCGGAUUUACUGGGCGUAAAGGGCGUGCAGGUGGCUUGAUAAGUUCGGCGUGAAAUUUCCCGGCUUAACCUGGGAAUUGCGCUUGAAACUAGCGGGCUUGAGUGUGGCAGAGGGGGGUGGAAUUCCACGUGUAGCAGUGAAAUGCGUAGAGAUGUGGAGGAACACCGAUGGCGAAGGCAGCCCCCUGGGUCAACACUGACGCUCAUGCACGAAAGCGUGGGGAGCAAACAGG